Molecule: transfer RNA, 71 nt
Filed under: Marmota monax (woodchuck)
Lineage: Eukaryota; Metazoa; Chordata; Mammalia; Rodentia; Sciuridae
Description: tRNA.Asp
Source: RNAcentral
GGGGUUGUGGCUCAGUGGUAGCGCACUCGUCUGUCAUGUGUGAGGCAUUGGGUUUGAUCCUCAGCACCCCA